UCCUGACUGACCGAUAGUGAACCAGUACCGUGAGGGAAAGGCGAAAAGAACCCCGGCGAGGGGAGUGAAAAAGAACCUGAAACCGUGUACGUACAAGCAGUGGGAGCACGCUUAGGCGUGUGACUGCGUACCUUUUGUAUAAUGGGUCAGCGACUUAUAUUCUGUAGCAAGGUUAACCGAAUAGGGGAGCCGAAGGGAAACCGAGUCUUAACUGGGCGUUAAGUUGCAGGGUAUAGACCCGAAACCCGGUGAUCUAGCCAUGGGCAGGUUGAAGGUUGGGUAACACUAACUGGAGGACCGAACCGACUAAUGUUGAAAAAUUAGCGGAUGACUUGUGGCUGGGGGUGAAAGGCCAAUCAAACCGGGAGAUAGCUGGUUCUCCCCGAAAGCUAUUUAGGUAGCGCCUCGUGAAUUCAUCUCCGGGGGUAGAGCACUGUUUCGGCAAGGGGGUCAUCCCGACUUACCAACCCGAUGCAAACUGCGAAUACCGGAGAAUGUUAUCACGGGAGACACACGGCGGGUGCUAACGUCCGUCGUGAAGAGGGAAACAACCCAGACCGCCAGCUAAGGUCCCAAAGUCAUGGUUAAGUGGGAAACGAUGUGGGAAGGCCCAGACAGCCAGGAUGUUGGCUUAGAAGCAGCCAUCAUUUAAAGAAAGCGUAAUAGCUCACUGGUCGAGUCGGCCUGCGCGGAAGAUGUAACGGGGCUAAACCAUGCACCGAAGCUGCGGCAGCGACGCUUAUGCGUUGUUGGGUAGGGGAGCGUUCUGUAAGCCUGCGAAGGUGUGCUGUGAGGCAUGCUGGAGGUAUCAGAAGUGCGAAUGCUGACAUAAGUAACGAUAAAGCGGGUGAAAAGCCCGCUCGCCGGAAGACCAAGGGUUCCUGUCCAACGUUAAUCGGGGCAGGGUGAGUCGACCCCUAAGGCGAGGCCGAAAGGCGUAGUCGAUGGGAAACAGGUUAAUAUUCCUGUACUUGGUAUUACUGCGAAGGGGGGACGGAGAAGGCUAUGUUGGCCGGGCGACGGUUGUCCCGGUUUAAGCGUGUAGGCUGGUUUUCCAGGCAAAUCCGGAAAAUCAAGGCUGAGGCGUGAUGACGAGGCACUACGGUGCUGAAGCAACAAAUGCCCUGCUUCCAGGAAAAGCCUCUAAGCAUCAGGUAACAUCAAAUCGUACCCCAAACCGACACAGGUGGUCAGGUAGAGAAUACCAAGGCGCUUGAGAGAACUCGGGUGAAGGAACUAGGCAAAAUGGUGCCGUAACUUCGGGAGAAGGCACGCUGAUAUGUAGGUGAAGUCCCUUGCGGAUGGAGCUGAAAUCAGUCGAAGAUACCAGCUGGCUGCAACUGUUUAUUAAAAACACAGCACUGUGCAAACACGAAAGUGGACGUAUACGGUGUGACGCCUGCCCGGUGCCGGAAGGUUAAUUGAUGGGGUCAGCGCAAGCGAAGCUCUUGAUCGAAGCCCCGGUAAACGGCGGCCGUAACUAUAACGGUCCUAAGGUAGCGAAAUUCCUUGUCGGGUAAGUUCCGACCUGCACGAAUGGCGUAAUGAUGGCCAGGCUGUCUCCACCCGAGACUCAGUGAAAUUGAACUCGCUGUGAAGAUGCAGUGUACCCGCGGCAAGACGGAAAGACCCCGUGAACCUUUACUAUAGCUUGACACUGAACAUUGAGCCUUGAUGUGUAGGAUAGGUGGGAGGCUUUGAAGUGUGGACGCCAGUCUGCAUGGAGCCGGCCUUGAAAUACCACCCUUUAAUGUUUGAUGUUCUAACGUGGACCCGUGAUCCGGGUUGCGGACAGUGUCUGGUGGGUAGUUUGACUGGGGCGGUCUCCUCCUAAAGAGUAACGGAGGAGCACGAAGGUUGGCUAAUCCUGGUCGGACAUCAGGAGGUUAGUGCAAUGGCAUAAGCCAGCUUGACUGCGAGCGUGACGGCGCGAGCAGGUGCGAAAGCAGGUCAUAGUGAUCCGGUGGUUCUGAAUGGAAGGGCCAUCGCUCAACGGAUAAAAGGUACUCCGGGGAUAACAGGCUGAUACCGCCCAAGAGUUCAUAUCGACGGCGGUGUUUGGCACCUCGAUGUCGGCUCAUCACAUCCUGGGGCUGAAGUAGGUCCCAAGGGUAUGGCUGUUCGCCAUUUAAAGUGGUACGCGAGCUGGGUUUAGAACGUCGUGAGACAGUUCGGUCCCUAUCUGCCGUGGGCGCUGGAGAACUGAGGGGGGCUGCUCCUAGUACGAGAGGACCGGAGUGGACGCAUCACUGGUGUUCGGGUUGUCAUGCCAAUGGCACUGCCCGGUAGCUAAAUGCGGAAGAGAUAAGUGCUGAAAGCAUCUAAGCACGAAACUUGCCCCGAGAUGAGUUCUCCCUGACCCUUUAAGGGUCCUGAAGGAACGUUGAAGACGACGACGUUGAUAGGCCGGGUGUGUAAGCGCAGCGAUGCGUUGAGCUAACCGGUACUAAUGAACCGUGAGG
RNAcentral lists this ribosomal RNA (2462 nucleotides) under Shigella sonnei. Its description in RNAcentral is "partial 23S ribosomal RNA". It matches the Rfam family "Bacterial large subunit ribosomal RNA", at positions 474 to 2915 of the family's 2925-position model. Lineage: Bacteria; Pseudomonadati; Pseudomonadota; Gammaproteobacteria; Enterobacterales; Enterobacteriaceae. The record is from RNAcentral.